AUUGAACGCUGGCGGCAGGCCUAACACAUGCAAGUCGAGCGGAUGAAAGGGGCUUGCUCCUGGAUUCAGCGGCGGACGGGUGAGUAAUGCGCAGGAAUCUACCUAGUAGUGGGGGAUAACGUUUCGAAAGGAACGCUAAUACCGCAUACGUUCUGAGGAAGAAAGCAGGGGAUCGUAAGACCUUGCGCUAUUAGAUGAGCUUGCGUCCGAUUAGCUAGUUGGUGGGGUAAAGGCCUACCAAGGCGACGAUCGGUAACUGGUCUGAGAGGAUGAUCAGUCACACUGGAACUGAGACACGGCCCAGACUCCUACGGGAGGCAGCAGUGGGGAAUCUUAGACAAUGGGCGCAAGCCUGAUCUAGCCAUGCCGCGUGGACGACGAAGGCCUUAGGGUUGUAAAGUCCUUUCAGAUGGGAAGAUAAUGACGGUACCAUCAGAAGAAGCCCCGGCUAACUCCGUGC
This 460-nucleotide ribosomal RNA is filed under the name uncultured bacterium. RNAcentral's name for it is "bacterial SSU rRNA". It matches the Rfam family "Bacterial small subunit ribosomal RNA", at positions 30 to 508 of the family's 1533-position model. The record is from RNAcentral.